This 320-nucleotide unclassified non-coding RNA is filed under the name Hevea brasiliensis (rubber tree). Lineage: Eukaryota; Viridiplantae; Streptophyta; Magnoliopsida; Malpighiales; Euphorbiaceae. The record is from RNAcentral.
GGAAAAAACAAACUUCAGAUCUGCUGCCCUGUGGAAGGAUUGGCAUUGAUAUGAAAUCCCAAACAGUAUCAGCAUAAAGGGUAGCCCAGAUGAAGGAGAUGUGUCCAUGUAGAUGUGUCUUGGUUAGAAUCUGAAAAGAUGAUUAUAUUCUCCUCAUGAAUCGUAAAUCCGCAAAGAACUACGGAUUUGCUGGCGGCAGACGGGACAUUUGGGAGCUGAAUCGCGUUCAACUGAGACGGCACAACGUUCGCAGCAAACAAAAUGACCACAUGGAAUGAAAGCAGAUCGCUUUCUCCUCAUGAGACAGAUCACGCACAACU